Molecule: unclassified non-coding RNA, 152 nt
Filed under: uncultured Mortierella
Lineage: Eukaryota; Fungi; Mortierellomycota; Mortierellomycetes; Mortierellales; Mortierellaceae
Description: sequence contains ITS1
Source: RNAcentral
UAAUAAGUGUUCUACUGCACUUUUUAAAAAUAGUACUCACCUUGUGUGCAAUGUUUGUUGAACUCUCUCGAGAGUUUGACACUUAUACCAACCUUUUAUAUUUUGAACCAUUUUUGUCUGAAAAAACAUUUAUGAAUACUUAAUUCUAAAUA